This 460-nucleotide ribosomal RNA is filed under the name uncultured bacterium. RNAcentral describes it as "partial 16S ribosomal RNA". It matches the Rfam family "Bacterial small subunit ribosomal RNA", at positions 338 to 795 of the family's 1533-position model. The record is from RNAcentral.
CCUACGGGAGGCAGCAGUGAGGAAUAUUGGUCAAUGGACGAGAGUCUGAACCAGCCAAGUAGCGUGAAGGAUGACUGCUCUAUGGGUUGUAAACUUCUUUUAUAUGGGAAUAAAAUGUUCCACGUGUGGGAUUUUGUAUGUACCAUAUGAAUAAGGAUCGGCUAACUCCGUGCCAGCAGCCGCGGUAAUACGGAGGAUCCGAGCGUUAUCCGGAUUUAUUGGGUUUAAAGGGAGCGUAGGUGGAUUGUUAAGUCAGUUGUGAAAGUUUGCGGCUCAACCGUAAAAUUGCAGUUGAAACUGGCAGUCGUGAGUACAGUAGAGGUAGGCGGAAUGCGUGGUGUAGCGGUGAAAUGCUUAGAUAUCACGAAGAACUCCGAUUGCGAAGGCAGCUCACUGGACUGCAACUGACACUGAGGCUCGAAAGUGUGGGUAUCAAACAGGAUUAGAUACCCGGGUAGUC